Molecule: long non-coding RNA, 472 nt
Organism: Pogoniulus pusillus (Red-fronted tinkerbird)
Lineage: Eukaryota; Metazoa; Chordata; Aves; Piciformes; Lybiidae
Exons: 2
Source: RefSeq, a predicted model, not a curated record
CUCUAGUGUGACUUCAAAGGAGGUGGCACCCGGGCGAGGGCUCGUCUGAACGUCCCACGCUGGCUGGCAGGAGACCUUGUGGAGGUGCAGGUGGAAUGGGCAUGGCCCAGAGCAGCUGCAAGGUUUGCAGCAGUGGAGCGAAAGGUGCCCAGCUGCAGGCCUAUGGAAGAUUGGCUGCUCCCGGAGCUCCCUCUUCUGUGCUCCUUUGUUUUGUCUCUGCAGGAGCAGACAAGAAGCAGAUAAUGUUUAUCUCCCCGUUUGGUGAGCUGUGCCCAUCUGGGCUCCUGAGGGCUGGACGAGAUGUCCUGGGAAGAGUCGGGGGGAAGAAAAUAUCCCAAGCUGCCUACGGUGAGAGGCUUGGGGGCCAGGAGAGCAUGGCACUGCCACAGCAGCCCCCAGCUCCGGCCGCUGCGGGGCUGCCUGCUGGCCGCCGGGCAUCCCCGGGCGCUGGGCGCCCUGCCAGCUCGGAGCA